RNAcentral lists this ribosomal RNA (301 nucleotides) under uncultured bacterium. RNAcentral's name for it is "partial 16S ribosomal RNA". It matches the Rfam family "Bacterial small subunit ribosomal RNA", at positions 509 to 807 of the family's 1533-position model. The record is from RNAcentral.
CAGUAGCCGCGGGAAAACGGAGGGUGCAAGCGUUAAUCGGAAUUACUGGGCGUAAAGCGCACGCAGGCGGUUUGUUAAGUCAGAUGUGAAAUCCCCGGGCUCAACCUGGGAGCUGCAUCUGAUACUGGCAAGCUUGAGUCUCGUAGAGGGGGGUAGAAUUCCAGGUGUAGCGGUGAAAUGCGUAGAGAUCUGGAGGAAUACCGGUGGCGAAGGCGGCCCCCUGGACGAAGACUGACGCUCAGGUGCGAAAGCGUGGGGAGCAAACAGGAUUAGAUACCCCAGUAGUCCCUGUCUCUUAUAC